Molecule: non-coding RNA, 300 nt
Organism: Cinara cedri
Lineage: Eukaryota; Metazoa; Arthropoda; Insecta; Hemiptera; Aphididae
Source: the annotation of a GenBank genome assembly
ACGACGACGACGGUCCCGCAGGAAGCUGACGGAAUGUUGAAUUAUUAUUUUAUAUUAGACGCGGAUACGUUUUAUAUCGCGCCGGGUUCUCGGCAUACGAAAUGCGGACAGCUACAUACAAACUGUACAGGUAUAUAAUACCUAUCUAAUCGUAUAUAUAUAUGAUAAAAUCAUUAUUAUUAUUAUUAUUACAGGUAUACGAUUUGCAAAACCGUCCACGACUUCCUCCCCGAGACUCGCGCGCAUACGACGGCGACGGGUAUACCGGGUCCCGUGCGCGGAAAAUGUGUGGCACGUGCG